RNAcentral lists this transfer RNA (85 nucleotides) under Arthrobacter gandavensis. Its description in RNAcentral is "tRNA-Leu". It matches the Rfam family "tRNA". Rfam says of the family: Transfer RNA (tRNA) molecules are approximately 80 nucleotides in length. Their secondary structure includes four short double-helical elements and three loops (D, anti-codon, and T loops). Lineage: Bacteria; Bacillati; Actinomycetota; Actinomycetes; Micrococcales; Micrococcaceae. RNAcentral also lists the same sequence under 5 other names. The record is from RNAcentral.
GCGCGAGUGGCGAAAUUGGCAGACGCGCUGGAUUUAGGUUCCAGUGUCUUCGGACGUGUGGGUUCAAGUCCCUCCUCGCGCACCA